AUUGAACGCUGGCGGCAGGCCUAACACAUGCAAGUCGAACGAGUGGCGGACGGGUGAGUAAUGUCUGGGAAACUGCCCGAUGGAGGGGGAUAACUACUGGAAACGGUCGCUAAUACAGCAUACCAUCGGAUCUGCCAAGAUGGGAUUAGCUAGUAGGUGGGGUAAAGGCUCACCUAGGCGACGAUCCCUAGCUGGUCUGAGAGGAUGACCAGCCACACUUGAACUGAGACACGGUCCAGACUCCUACGUGAGGCAGCAGUGGGGAAUAUUGCACAAUGGGCGCAAGCCUGAUGCAGCCAUGCCGCGUGGAUGAAGAAGGCCUUCGGGUUGUAAAGUACUUUCAGCGGGGAGGCGUUACCCGCAGAAGAAGCACCGGCUAACUCCGUGCCAGCAGCCGCGGUAAUAC
RNAcentral lists this ribosomal RNA (406 nucleotides) under uncultured bacterium. RNAcentral's name for it is "partial 16S ribosomal RNA". It matches the Rfam family "Bacterial small subunit ribosomal RNA", at positions 30 to 526 of the family's 1533-position model. The record is from RNAcentral.